RNAcentral lists this transfer RNA (73 nucleotides) under Sus scrofa (pig). It matches the Rfam family "tRNA". Rfam says of the family: Transfer RNA (tRNA) molecules are approximately 80 nucleotides in length. Lineage: Eukaryota; Metazoa; Chordata; Mammalia; Artiodactyla; Suidae. The record is from Rfam by way of RNAcentral.
UCCCUGGUGGUCUAGUGGUAAGGAUUCAGCACUCUCAUGGGCUGUGGCCUGGGUUCAAUCCCUGGUCUGGGAA